This 253-nucleotide ribosomal RNA is filed under the name uncultured bacterium. RNAcentral describes it as "partial 16S ribosomal RNA". It matches the Rfam family "Bacterial small subunit ribosomal RNA", at positions 524 to 776 of the family's 1533-position model. The record is from RNAcentral.
UACGUAGGGUGCAAGCGUUGUCCGGAAUUAUUGGGUGUAAAGAGCUCGUAGGCGGCUAGUCACGUCGGAUGUGAAAACCCGAGGCUCAACCUCGGGCCUGCAUUCGAUACGGGCUGGCUAGAGUACUGCAGGGGAGACUGGAAUUCCUGGUGUAGCGGUGAAAUGCGCAGAUAUCAGGAGGAACACCGGUGGCGAAGGCGGGUCUCUGGGCAGUAACUGACGCUGAGGAGCGAAAGCGUGGGGAGCGAACAGG